This 248-nucleotide ribosomal RNA is filed under the name uncultured Ruminococcus sp. RNAcentral describes it as "partial 16S ribosomal RNA". It matches the Rfam family "Bacterial small subunit ribosomal RNA", at positions 524 to 771 of the family's 1533-position model. Lineage: Bacteria; Bacillati; Bacillota; Clostridia; Eubacteriales; Oscillospiraceae. The record is from RNAcentral.
UACGUAGGGAGCGAGCGUUGUCCGGAAUUACUGGGUGUAAAGGGAGUGUAGGCGGGACUGUAAGUCAGAUGUGAAAAUUAGGGGCUCAACCCCUAACCUGCAUUUGAAACUGUAGAGCUUGAGUGAAGUAGAGGCAGGCGGAAUUCCCCGUGUAGCGGUGAAAUGCGUAGAUAUUAGGAGGAACAUCAGUGGCGAAGGCGGCUUACUGGGCUUUAACUGACGCUGAGGCUCGAAAGCGUGGGGAGCAA